CCUACGGGUGGCAGCAGUGGGGAAUAUUGCACAAUGGGGGAAACCCUGAUGCAGCAACGCCGCGUGAAGGAAGACGGUUUUCGGAUUGUAAACUUCUGUUCUUAGUGAAGAAGCAAGACGGUACCUGACUAAGAAGCCCCGGCUAACUACGUGCCAGCAGCCGCGGUAAUACGUAGGGGGCGAGCGUUAUCCGGAUUCACUGGGUGUAAAGGGAGCGUAGACGGCCAUGCAAGCCAGGGGUGAAAGCCCGGGGCCCAACCCCGGGACUGCCCUUGGAACUGCAUGGCUGGAGUGCGGGAGGGGCAGGCGGAAUUCCUGGUGUAGCGGUGAAAUGCGUAGAUAUCAGGAGGAACACCGGCGGCGAAGGCGGCCUGCUGGACCGCGACUGACGUUGAGGCUCGAAAGCGUGGGGAGCGAACAGGAUUAGAUACCCUUGUAGUC
Molecule: ribosomal RNA, 441 nt
Filed under: uncultured bacterium
Lineage: Bacteria
Description: partial 16S ribosomal RNA
Rfam family: Bacterial small subunit ribosomal RNA
Source: RNAcentral